RNAcentral lists this non-coding RNA (21 nucleotides) under Caenorhabditis elegans. Lineage: Eukaryota; Metazoa; Nematoda; Chromadorea; Rhabditida; Rhabditidae. The record is from RNAcentral.
UUUUGCUGACAUUCAUAAUAC